This 497-nucleotide ribosomal RNA is filed under the name uncultured bacterium. Its description in RNAcentral is "partial 16S ribosomal RNA". It matches the Rfam family "Bacterial small subunit ribosomal RNA", at positions 28 to 507 of the family's 1533-position model. The record is from RNAcentral.
GAUGAACGCUGGCGGCGUGCCUAAUACAUGCAAGUCGAGCGAACGGACGAGAAGCUUGCUUCUCUGAUGUUAGCGGCGGACGUGUGAGUAACACGUGGAUCACCUACCUAUAAGACUGGGAUAACUUCGGGAAACCGGAGCUAAUACCGGAUAAUAUUUUGAACCGCAUGGUUGAAAAGUGAAAGACGGUCUUGCUGUCACUUAUAGAUGGAUCCGCGCUGCAUUAGCUAGUUGGUAAGGUAACGGCUUACCAAGGCAACGAUGCAUAGCCGACCUGAGAGGGUGAUCGGCCACACUGGAACUGAGACACGGUCCAGACUCCUACGGGAGGCAGCAGUAGGGAAUCUUCCGCAAUGGGCGAAAGCCUGACGGAGCAACGCCGCGUGAGUGAUGAAGGUCUUCGGAUCGUAAAACUCUGUUAUUAGGGAAGAACAUAUGUGUAAGUAACUGUGCACAUCUUGACGGUACCUAAUCAGAAAGCCACGGCUAACUACGUG